AGUGAACGCUGGCGGUAGGCCUAACACAUGCAAGUCGAACGGCAGCACAGUAAGAGCUUGCUCUUACGGGUGGCGAGUGGCGGACGGGUGAGGAAUACAUCGGAAUCUACUUUUUCGUGGGGGAUAACGUAGGGAAACUUACGCUAAUACCGCAUACGACCUACGGGUGAAAGCAGGGGAUCUUCGGACCUUGCGCGAUUGAAUGAGCCGAUGUCGGAUUAGCUAGUUGGCGGGGUAAAGGCCCACCAAGGCGACGAUCCGUAGCUGGUCUGAGAGGAUGAUCAGCCACACUGGAACUGAGACACGGUCCAGACUCCUACGGGAGGCAGCAGUGGGGAAUAUUGGACAAUGGGCGCAAGCCUGAUCCAGCCAUACCGCGUGGGUGAAGAAGGCCUUCGGAUUGUAAAGCCCUUUUGUUGGGAAAGAAAAGCAGCAGGUUAAUACCCCGCUGUUCUGACGGUACCCAAAGAAUAAGCACCGGCUAACUUCGUG
Molecule: ribosomal RNA, 492 nt
Filed under: uncultured bacterium
Lineage: Bacteria
Description: partial 16S ribosomal RNA
Rfam family: Bacterial small subunit ribosomal RNA
Source: RNAcentral